GGUGGCUCAGUAGUAGAGUGUUUGCCUUGCAUGCAUGAGACCCUGGGUUCGAUUCCUCAGCACCA
This 65-nucleotide transfer RNA is filed under the name Dipodomys ordii (Ord's kangaroo rat). It matches the Rfam family "tRNA". Rfam says of the family: Transfer RNA (tRNA) molecules are approximately 80 nucleotides in length. The record is from Rfam by way of RNAcentral. Lineage: Eukaryota; Metazoa; Chordata; Mammalia; Rodentia; Heteromyidae.